AUUGAACGCUGGCGGCAGGCUUAACACAUGCAAGUCGAGCGAGCGGCGGACGUGUGAGUAAUGUCUGGGAAACUGCCUGAUGGAUGGGGAUAACUCCUGGAACCGGUAGCUACUACCGCAUAACAGCAGCUGUGCCCCGAUGGGAUUAGCUAGUAGGUGGGGUAAUGGCUCACCUAGGCGACGAUCCCUAGCUGGUCUGAGAGGAGGACCAGCCACCCUGGAACUGAGACACGGUCCAGACUCCUACGGGAGGCAGAAGUGGGGAAUAUUGCACAAUGGGCGCAAGCCUGAUGCAGCCAUGCCGCGUGUGUGAAGAAGGCCGUCGGGUUGUAAAGCACUUUCAGCGAGGAGGCGUUACUCGCAGAAGAAGCACCGGCUAACUCCGUGCCAGCAGCCGCGGUAAUAC
This 406-nucleotide ribosomal RNA is filed under the name uncultured bacterium. RNAcentral's name for it is "partial 16S ribosomal RNA". It matches the Rfam family "Bacterial small subunit ribosomal RNA", at positions 30 to 526 of the family's 1533-position model. The record is from RNAcentral.